Molecule: long non-coding RNA, 384 nt
Filed under: Marmota monax (woodchuck)
Lineage: Eukaryota; Metazoa; Chordata; Mammalia; Rodentia; Sciuridae
Rfam family: tRNA (bases 281-348)
Source: RNAcentral
GUGGGCUAUCAGGAGUCCAGCCUGUCAGGCUGAAGUGGAGCUGGUGAGUGCAGAGACGCUGGCCCUGGGUAUCAGGGGGAGGCUGUGCUGGCCUGCCAGGAGUUGGUGUGAAUGUGUGUCUGCACUCAGUUGUGGUCCUGCCAUUCCCCCUUGUGACUUUCCUGCAGUGUACUGCAUCCUUUUUGGAAAUUUUGUGAGCUACUCAGAGUCUUUUCAGUACAUUAUUUUUCUGCUUAGAGCAUUCAGAACCUGUCUGUACAAUCGAGUUGUUUCCUGGGCUGGGGUUGUGGCUCAGUAGUAGAGCACUUGCCUGGCAUGCGUGCAGCCUGGGUUCAAUCCUCAGCACCACAUACAAAUAAAGAUGUUGUGUCCACCGAAAACUAA